Molecule: ribosomal RNA, 270 nt
Filed under: uncultured bacterium
Lineage: Bacteria
Description: partial 16S ribosomal RNA
Rfam family: Bacterial small subunit ribosomal RNA
Source: RNAcentral
CCGGCGACCGGCGCACGGGUGAGUAACACGUAUGCAACCUGGCCGUGACAGAUGGAUAACCGGGAGAAAUCCCGCCUAAUACAACAUAAUGCCGGGAGGGGACAUCCCCUGCCGGCCAAAGGGGGCGACCCCGGUCACGGAUGGGCAUGCGGCGCAUUAGGUAGUUGGUGGGGCAACGGCCCACCAAGCCGACGAUGCGUAGGGGUUCUGAGAGGAAGGCCCCCCACACUGGUACUGAGACACGGACCAGACUCCUACGGGAGGCAGCAG